AACAAAGCAGCUGCGUCAAGCAGCUGCUGUAAAGGGGGGAUGAGGGGCGGCGGACGCGUAGCUGGAGGCGUAGGAUGGAUGAGUGGAUGAUUAGGGGAUGUGGAAGCGUAUUAGAGCUUGAUUAGGCUUUAAAAAGGGAAGAAAAAUGAAGAAUGGAGAUGGAGAGAAACCCAGAAAACAGAGGAGGAAAUUUUUGGAGAAUUCGAGUUUUUGGUUGCUUAAAAUUGGACAUCAAUCGAGGGUAAAGGAAGAGGGGUUGUUGCUGAGGAAUCUUUUGAGGAAAGGGAUACGGCCCCGAGCUGAAUCGAACGGUAAUUCGAAGGGAGGAGAGGUUGAAGACGAGCGCGUGAAGGACACGCGAGGCGCGUGGGAGGCCGCGAGUGGAAGUGCGACUGUGCGAGGAUCAGGCGCGUGAGAAAACGAUAUUGACCUUGUGUUGGCGCGUGAGGGCGCGUGCGAAGGUCUAAUAGGAAGGAAUUGUGUUGAAAUACUAUUAAACGUA
Cucurbita moschata (crookneck pumpkin) is the source of this 502-nucleotide long non-coding RNA. RefSeq lists it as uncharacterized. NCBI's taxonomy places the organism in Eukaryota, Viridiplantae, Streptophyta, Magnoliopsida, Cucurbitales, Cucurbitaceae. The record is from RefSeq and is a predicted model, not a curated record. The transcript is spliced from 3 exons.